GAGAAGUUACCAUGUUCCCUCCACACCUGACUGUGGAACAUUCCUCAGAGCUCGGAGACGCAGUCCAGCACCUGGAAAGGUCCUGUGCAUCACCGGGCCACCGAGGAGGCUCCGCCGCCCGGAGGAAAACAUCCAUCAGAUGACUGUCCUUCUGGGAGGAAGAAAAGAGGAAAACAGUCCUUUCAGAAACUCAGGAGAGUCUCUUGACUUUACGAAUCCACCAAAAGUGGAAGCAGGGUGAUCCAAUUCGGCAGAGACUAAACUCGCACGCCACCUCUAGAAUCGGUGAAUCGGUUCCUGGUGAGCGUGAUUGUCCGUGUGACCAAAGAGUGUGUGCGUUCCAUGAGCUACUUUGUGGACGACAUGAUUCCUUUUUAUAUAUAUAUUUUUGUCCAUGUGAUGAGAACUCAGGAU
This 414-nucleotide long non-coding RNA is filed under the name Cervus hanglu yarkandensis (Yarkand deer). RNAcentral describes it as "lncRNA (ENSCHYG00000020505.1)". The record is from RNAcentral. Lineage: Eukaryota; Metazoa; Chordata; Mammalia; Artiodactyla; Cervidae.